UCAAAUCGUCCGCGCCUCCGAAGAAAACCCUAUCUCAAAUCUUCCCUUCUUCUUCUUCCACUUACAGAUCGGCCAUGUCUUCGUCUGAAAUCAGUAGCCGCUUCGUUUUGUUUGAAUAACCCUAAAUCAAGGAUCUAAAAUUUGUAAACAUGAAGGAGCUGCAAACCCUUGAACAUUUUUUUUCCUUAGGGGUUGCACAAACUCCAGUUUCGCAGCCAUGGUUUGAGGAGGAUAUUUGGACCGAGAUAGCAAAACAUGUAGACAAAAAUGUAUAUUGAUGCUUAGAUCCUCUCGUCGUUGGUUUCGUCGUGUAAUUUUGGAAGAAGAUAGUGUAUGGAAAUGCGCUUGUUUAUGUGAUCUUUAAGUUCCUCCGUUUCGCCAACAAUUCUUCUCUAAAUGGAUCUAAUUCUACAUUUGGUAAAUUUGACUCAAUCCCUUAUGUGUAUCCUUGGGGUGGAAAUUGGAAGUGCUGACGGCCAUGAUGAUGGAGGAUAAAGAUAAGGAUCUACAGAUAGAUUUCCUUUGGGUGAUCUUCAGCCAGCACGCCAAGAAGAGCAAAUCCAUUAACAGAUCCCAUGCCACCCAGUAGCAGAGAUGCUUCACUUCAGAGCGUUGGUGAAGUUUCUGAAAAUCCUAAUCAAUGAGCAGAUCUUCAUAUAAAAUGCUUCACGCCAAGAAGAGCAAAUAUAUGGAACUCUAGUCAAGUGUAUUCCAGUGAAACAUAUGGUUGCAGGAAAUUAAGCAUACACAGCUGAUAAGGGUUGUUGGUCUGGUUCAUUUACACAUUCAGAGAGUGGCGGUGCAGGGUCUCAAUCAGGGGAAGAUUCUGGUUUGCUGUGUUACUGCUCUCUGAUAUCGAAAAAAGCAAUCCUUAUACACAAGUGUUGCAACUACAGUCAUGUAAGCAAGCACGAAUACAACGAAUAAUGCAGCAAGGAAUGACCAUAUGGACGAGACUCUACUGCAAAAGCAUAUUGAACUUGUGACUAAUAUUGCUAGGAUAAAGCGGUAUGGGGACAGGUUUUUUGUAGACGAGAAAAACAUGAGUCCAAGCCAAAGUUGGUGGUGAACCUGUAGAUGAGACUGUAUUGUCCGAGUGUAUUAUCCAGUGUCAUGCUUGUAUUUGUGGAAUGUUCCAGAGUACUAUGAUAUUAUCUGGAAUAAGAUAUUGGUUGUGCUGCAAGUUACGAGAAGUAGCAACAAAACCAGCAUCCUGCCAACAACAAUUCAAUCCCAGAUGUUGCGAGUCCUAAUCAAAGCACAGAUCCAAGUCUUGUAGGGGUCACACAUACUGUUUUUAUUUCGACGAUCAGACUGUAUUUGUGAUGUUCGGCGUAGCUUCUUUGAUGUAAAAUCUGUACUCUUUUUUGAUGGAAA
Long non-coding RNA from Papaver somniferum (opium poppy), 1377 nucleotides. RefSeq lists it as uncharacterized. The transcript is spliced from 7 exons. The record is from RefSeq and is a predicted model, not a curated record. Lineage: Eukaryota; Viridiplantae; Streptophyta; Magnoliopsida; Ranunculales; Papaveraceae.